UACGUAGGGUGCAAGCGUUGUCCGGAAUUAUUGGGCGUAAAGAGCUCGUAGGCGGCUUGUCGCGUCUGCUGUGAAAACCUGGGGCUCAACCCCGGGCCUGCAGCCGAUACGGGCAAGCUAGAAUUCGGUAGGGGAGACUGGAAUUCCUGGUGUAGCGGUGAAAUGCGCAGAUAUCAGGAGGAACACCGGUGGCGAAGGCGGGUCUCUGGGCCGAUAUUGACGCUGAGGAGCGAAAGCGUGGGGAGCGAACAGG
RNAcentral lists this ribosomal RNA (253 nucleotides) under uncultured bacterium. Its description in RNAcentral is "partial 16S ribosomal RNA". It matches the Rfam family "Bacterial small subunit ribosomal RNA", at positions 524 to 776 of the family's 1533-position model. The record is from RNAcentral.